Molecule: long non-coding RNA, 4315 nt
Organism: Leucoraja erinaceus (little skate)
Lineage: Eukaryota; Metazoa; Chordata; Chondrichthyes; Rajiformes; Rajidae
Exons: 6
Source: RefSeq, a predicted model, not a curated record
CAAUCCAGGAAAUUGUAGGCGAGUACACCAUACAUCACUGGUGAGGAAAUUAUUGGAGAAGAUUCUUAGCGGUAGGAUUUACUCACAUUUGGAAAAGCAUUGACUUAUUUGGGAGGGUCAGCAUGGUUUUAUGUGGUGGAGGUCAUGAUGGUUUUUGAGGUUAGGUCAGUGGAUAUUGUGGGGUGGGAGAUUGCAACCUUCACGUGGUCCACCCUGUUUCGACUGAUGCAAUCAACCCGACGUGCACAAACAAGAUCAAAUAGACCAAGUUGACCUACAACAUUAGGCUGUGCACGCCAUAUACAAGAAGAAGAUGAAAUGGAUAUUGUCUGUAUUGUCAGUGAAGCAUUUGACAAAGAUCUCUUAUUCUAGACUGAGGCACAAGAUGAAAACACAUGGGGCCUUCUGCAUAAAGCUUUAGUACAGAUUCAUUUGGAGCAUUGCCUGCAGUUCCUGGUCACCACAUUACAUGAAGGAUGUGGAGGUUUUGGAGAGUGGAGCAGAAGAGUCACACUUGGAUGUUGCCUACAUUAGAGAGUAAUAACUAUAAGGAGAGAUUGGUCAAAUUUGAACUGUUUUAUUUUGGAGUGUCAGAGGCUGAAGAGGCAAUCUGGCAGAAAGAUGUAAAAUUAUGAGGAAUAGUUAGGGUAAGUAGUCAGAGAUGUUUCCUGGAGUGAUAGUGAAAAAAAAGGGGCAUAGGUUUAAGGUGAGAGAAGAGGCUAAGUUUAAAGGUGAUUUAGGAGGCAUUUUUUUUACAUGGACAGUGGCAGUCGCCUGGAAAGAGCUGCUAGAGAAGGUGGUAGAUCCAGAUGCAAUAGCAAUGUUUAAGAUGCAUAUAGGCAGACACAUGAACAGGUAGAUAAUGGAGGGAGUACAGGCACAGAAUGGAGGGAUAGGGAACACAUGCAGGUAGGUGGGGUGAACUUAAUUUAGCAUGAUGGUAACACAAACCUGAGGCCAGAGGCCUGUUCCUGUGAUGUACUAUUCUAUGUACUCCAGGUAAGAUCUUCCCAAUGCCCUGGCAGCAAGACUUCUAUACUUUAAUCCUUUUUUUGUCUCCCUAACAUCUUGGCCUACCUGCAUAUUAAUUUUGUGUUUCCUAUAUAAGGACAUUCAGAUCUUUCUCUGGAACACCAUAUUGUAGUAUCUCUGUUUUAAUAAUAUUUUAAGGAAUAAACAGAGCACUGUACUCAGUGGGUAAGAAGGCAUCUGUGGAGGGAAUGGACAAUCAAUGUUUCAGACCGGGACUGUUCUUCAGGCAAUAUUUCAAACAAUAUUUUGCUUUUCUAUUCUUCCUUCAGCUAAAGCCUCUCAGCUGAUCGAGACACGAGUUUGAACUCGUGUCUUUAAACAACAGUAACAAACCAAUGCACUUCCACACCCUCCAUCGAUAUCUGUGAAACCUAGUUGUGUUUUUUCCCCUGAUGGAUACAGUUUAAAUGCAGCCUACUGAACUUGCCAAUCACAUGCUUCAUUUAAGAGGACAUUGCAGUGCAGAGCUGAUAAAAUUAAGUUCAUUGUGCCAAAAAUGUUUAAUUUACAUAAUCAAACUGAAAGCACAUUCAGAUAAAAUGGAUUAACCUACAAACAAUGACCUUAAUAAGGGAUUUGACCCAGGAGAGUUCAUCAUUAUUUGAUUGCAAGUUUAAACAAAAUCUGAUGUACGCAUAAAGUGAAAGACUCAACAGAUUGUGCAAAAUAUAUACUCUGUCUUUGGUACCAUGCGGAAUCUAUGGGAUAUUGUCGUAGAGAUACAUGCCCAAAAGUUUAUUACAGAAGAAAAACAUUUCCUCUGGUCUCUUAACAGAGCAUUCAUUUAAUUGUUGUUGAUUCAAACAUUAAGGUAAGGCUGGUUCAGUAGAAUUAUUUACAGUGAAGCUGGAUAAAUAUAUUUGGGGUAUUGAGGACUGUGGAGAUCUGUCAUCUGUCAGAAAGAAGGAGUUGAGGCCUGGGGUAGAUCAGCCAUGGUCAGAUUGAAUAAGGGGAAAAGUUAGAAGGGCUGACAACAGUAACUGCAAGAAUGGUUUCGACCCGAAACGUUGCCUAUUUCCUACGCUCCAUAGAUGCUGCCUCACCUGCUGAGUUUCUCCAGCAUUUUUGUCUACCAACAGUAACUGCAAGGCGACUUAUUGAAUAUAUGAUUUUGAGACACAAAAUUAGGUGCUCGGUCUUCCAUUGUGUGAGAAACACUUUGGGUAGUAGCAGUGUACUCGGGUUCCUUGGCAAAUAAUUAGAGUAAUGAUCCAGGAACAUAAAUCUGUGAUUUAAAAUAACUACUAUUGGUAAUGGUAACAAUGAAAUGAUUGAAUCAUAGUAAUAAAAAAAAUGUCCCUGGCAUUCACGUCGGGACCCUUUUUCAGACAUAAAACUAAGGCCAAGUCCUUCAAGCAGGGAAAUCGGCCAUCCUUAUUCAGCCCUUACAUUAUGUAUUGACCCAUGGCCCUGCAAGCCACCCAGUUCAUCGGAAAUGUAGAGAUAGGCAAUAAAUGCUGUUAUUGACAGUGACAAACUCAUCCAAGAAAUGAAUUAAUAGCUGGACAAAUGUUUGUGUUCAGUUGGAAUGUCUGCACUUUGUAGGUUUCUAAAACUACUUACGUGUAAUGUGAUAUUCACCCAUGCAGAAGUGACCGCUCCUGAUCAGAGGACUAAGGCGAGCCAGGAUUUGCGUGGGAGCAAAUGAGGAGCAAUGGAUAAAGCGUUAAGUUUACAUGGUGCAUGGUCUUUGUUCAACAUGUGAGGAAGUGGAAUGGUGGCGCCACCUAUGGGAGAUCUGGCUGUAAGAGAAACUACAGUCUUUACUCCUACCAGAUGCAGAUGAUCAUAAUCAGAGAUGUAGGUAGUCUGAAGAUCCUUGAUCUUGAUGGGAAGGAAGCCCACUGAAGAAUAUCAAUCUUUUGCAAAUUUCCAAAUGGAGAGAUUCUGCACCACUAACCGCAGAGUAGGUGGCCUGUCAGCUCUCUCCAAUGUGGAUCACAGGACAUUUCAAGGAGCCUCAAAAGAGGUUGGAUCCUGCUCAAUAGCCAUAUGUCGUGAAAAAUACUGCAAAUGCUGGAAAUCUGAAAUAAAAAUCUGGAGACACAGUGCCAGGCAGUGUACGAGGAGAGACAUGCCAGUGGAAACUUCCUCUCUACACCCACUCGAUCCAGGCUUUCACUAUUCAUGCAAUGUGGGAACUUACACCUGAACCUGACAGAAUAAAGAUGUUGCAAUUAUGUGAACACACCAGAUAUUUUCCUAAAUCCUCUGCACCGCAAAAAGAAUCCAGACGUACAAUUGGAAUUCUUGGAGCCUCCCUCUGGACUAUUUCAGGAAAGAAUCGAUAAAGUUCCAGACCGUAAGUAUUCUUGAGCCCAGUGAGUAGCCUCAUACACCGCUCAUUGUCUUCCGAUGCUUAUUCUUCAUGCUUAUAUUGUAGUUUUUCCAAUUGGAGGUACUGAGAUCGAAACCAGUAUAGUCGCUUCCAGUCUUUCACAGACAAGGCUGUUUGUUAAUCUGUCUUAAUGUCACACUGCAUUACCUCAGGAUAAAUUAAUCAGGAAGGUUGGGCCCAUGCAAAGACGACACAGAAUUCCCUGCUUGUGACUGACAGAGCUUGAAAACAAUGACUGCAUCUUAUGUUGAUAUACUGCCUGUACCAUGAAUAUGACACAAACCACUUUACAGCAAUGAUAUCAAAAUCUGACACUCAGACGCAGGAUGAGAUAUCAGGAUAGAUGAACAACAUUUUGGCCACUUAUUUAAGUUUUAACCAGAGUCUGAAAGGAGGCAGAGAGACCUGAGCAGUUUAGGAAGGGAAUGCCAAUGUUUAGGCUCCAGGCAGUGAAGGACACAAUCACUAAUGAAUAUACUGAUUCAUAAUAGCCAAGAAGCCUGAGGUGGACUAGCACAGAUGGAAGUCAAUCUAUUCUAGGACCCGAGAUUACAAAAGCUGAAUAGGGUGACAUUGGAGGCUCUGAGCAAGAUAGGGAUUGUAAAAUGAGACAUUGCUUAAAUGGGAUCAACUGUGAGUUGGCAAGUAAAAUGGUGAUCAUAGGUCACAAGCUGAUGUGAAUUUAAGAGACGGGUAGCCAAGAUUUGAAUGGCAAGUUUACAGAGGGUAGAAAAAUAUUUGAUGGUCAGGAAUGCAUUGGGAUAGUCAAAGCCAGAAAUAACAAGACAUUUCUGACUGUCUCAGUGUCUGGUGAGCUGAGGUAGAGGGAGAGAGAUUCAUCCGUUCAACAUUAAGCAGUUGUUUAAUUGGACAGGCUCUUACCUCUUGAGUCAUAAGGCUACAGUUCAAGCCCCAUUCUAAAAGUUAAAACACACACAUCCAAGC